Molecule: ribosomal RNA, 253 nt
Filed under: uncultured bacterium
Lineage: Bacteria
Description: partial 16S ribosomal RNA
Rfam family: Bacterial small subunit ribosomal RNA
Source: RNAcentral
UACGUAGGGUCCAAGCGUUGUCCGGAAUUAUUGGGCGUAAAGAGCUCGUAGGCGGUGUGUCGCGUCGGAUGUGAAAGCCCGGGGCUUAACUUCGGGUCUGCAUUCGGUACGGGCAUGCUGGAGUUCGGUAGGGGAGACUGGAAUUCCUGGUGUAGCGGUGAAAUGCGCAGAUAUCAGGAGGAACACCGGCGGCGAAGGCGGGUCUCUGGGCCGAUACUGACGCUGAGAAGCGAAAGCAUGGGGAGCGAACAGG